UGGCUUAUUCUAUGAUUCCUACCGAAAAAUGCGAUGUAUAUAGCUUUGGAAUUGUCGCAUUAGAGACAAUCAUGGGAAAGCAUCCGGGAGACCUUUUAUUACAGGAUUGUUCAUCCUCUAGCCAAACUGGAUCGCCGAUGCUGUUGAAGGAUGUGCUUGACCAACGUCUCUCACUCUCUAGGAUUCAUCUUCAAGAAGCGCAAAAUUUGGUCUUAAUCGCCAAAUUAGCGUUUGCAUGCUUGCACUCUGAUCCACAGUUUCGACCGACCAUGGGACAAGUCUCGCGUGAGCUUUGUGUUCAAGUACCACCAGAAAUGCCACUUUCUACAGUCAGUUUAGAGCAACUUCGCAAUUUCAAUGUGAAGAAAUUUGGAGCAUUCACUAGAGAUGGCGAUUUAUAGUUUUCACUACAGAGCCAACUUCUCUACGGACAUUACGAGAAUAGUGCGAUGUUUACAGCUUGGCAGCGUGGCACCAGAAAUAAUUAUGGGAAGGCUCCUGGGGAGAUCUCAUUUCCCAAUUAAUUCCAACAUUUUAUAGAGCAAUUGGGAAGUGAAUUUGUAAAAUGCAUUGGAUCAACAUCUCUUGCCUUCUUCAAAUCAAGAUGCAAACAAAAUUUAGCCUGUAUUACUAAAAGAGAUAAUGAUGCUACUAGUUUGUGAA
This is an RNA transcript of Eucalyptus grandis, 663 nucleotides long. RefSeq lists it as uncharacterized. NCBI's taxonomy places the organism in Eukaryota, Viridiplantae, Streptophyta, Magnoliopsida, Myrtales, Myrtaceae. The transcript is spliced from 2 exons. The record is from RefSeq and is a predicted model, not a curated record.